This 75-nucleotide transfer RNA is filed under the name Caulobacteraceae bacterium. RNAcentral describes it as "tRNA-Val". It matches the Rfam family "tRNA". From Rfam's summary of the family: Transfer RNA (tRNA) molecules are approximately 80 nucleotides in length. Their secondary structure includes four short double-helical elements and three loops (D, anti-codon, and T loops). The record is from RNAcentral. RNAcentral also lists the same sequence under 2 other names. Lineage: Bacteria; Pseudomonadati; Pseudomonadota; Alphaproteobacteria; Caulobacterales; Caulobacteraceae.
GGGCGGAUAGCUCAGCGGUAGAGCGUCUCGUUUACACCGAGAGGGUCGGGGGUUCGAUCCCCUCUCCGCCCACCA